Melozone crissalis (California towhee) is the source of this 3371-nucleotide RNA transcript. It is a transcript of the gene named Mtr4 exosome RNA helicase, with no coding region annotated. The record is from RefSeq and is a predicted model, not a curated record. The transcript is spliced from 27 exons. Lineage: Eukaryota; Metazoa; Chordata; Aves; Passeriformes; Passerellidae.
AGGGGCUCGGCAUCGGGACCGGGACCCAGACUCGGGCAGAAAUCGAGAUCGCCAUCGAGCACGGGCCGUGUGGGCGGCUACUGGUGCCAAGGCCGGCGGGAGCGCCCGUCACCCCUCAGGGGGCGGGAUCGGAAGCGCCCUUCUCGCGGGAAGUGUGCGCCCUGCGCGGGGCAUUGUGGAAGCGCGGCGGCUAAGAUGGCGGAGGCCUUUGGGGAUGAGCUCUUCAGCGUGUUCGAGGAGGACGCGGCCGCCGCUGCUUCUGGCGCCAAGAAGAGCAAAACGGGCCCCGCCGAGGGUGCCAGGAGGCCGGGGAAAAGAUUGGAAGAAAAACCUUCAGUACCAGCCGCAAUAGUCAAGCCAAAAAGGGAGGCUGAGAUUGAUAGUACUGAAAAUGUCAUUUUGGGGAAAAAACCGAAAUUGGAAGAUGUUUUAUCAGAUGAUGUUAAUCUGACAGAUCUGAUGCCUCAGGUAAAGGUGCAGUCUGUGGAAACUGUUGAAGGUUGUACGCAUGAGGUUGCGCUUCCAGCAAAUGAAGAAUUCACAGGUCUGAAGCCAAGAACUGGAAAAGCUGCAAAAGAGUAUCCAUUUAUUCUUGAUGCCUUCCAGAGAGAAGCUAUUCUUUGUGUAGAUAAUAACCAGUCUGUGUUGGUGUCAGCUCACACAUCAGCUGGUAAAACUGUUUGUGCUGAGUAUGCAAUUGCCCUGGCUUUGAGGGAAAAGCAGCGUGUGAUAUUUACAAGUCCAAUUAAAGCUUUGAGUAACCAGAAGUACCGUGAGAUGUAUGAAGAAUUUCAGGAUGUUGGUUUGAUGACUGGGGAUGUCACCAUUAAUCCUACAGCAUCUUGUUUGGUAAUGACAACUGAGAUCUUGAGAAGUAUGCUUUACAGAGGUUCUGAGGUUAUGCGUGAAGUCGCAUGGGUUAUUUUUGAUGAAAUUCACUACAUGAGAGAUACAGAACGUGGUGUGGUUUGGGAAGAGACUAUUAUUUUGCUUCCUGAUAAUGUACAUUAUGUGUUCCUUUCUGCAACUAUUCCAAAUGCCCGUCAGUUUGCUGAAUGGAUCUGCCAUCUUCACAAACAGCCUUGCCAUGUGAUUUACACUGACUAUCGACCUACUCCACUGCAGCAUUAUAUAUUUCCAGCAGGAGGAGAUGGACUCCAUCUGGUUGUUGAUGAAAAUGGAGAUUUCAGAGAAGAUAAUUUUAAUACCGCAAUGCAGGUGCUUAGAGAUGCAGGAGACUUAGCAAAAGGGGAUCAGAAAGGAAGGAAAGGAGGAACAAAAGGUCCUUCAAAUGUUUUUAAGAUUGUGAAGAUGAUCAUGGAAAGGAAUUUCCAACCUGUGAUUAUUUUCAGCUUCAGUAAGAAAGACUGUGAAGCCUAUGCACUUCAGAUGACAAAGUUGGAUUUCAAUACAGAUGAAGAAAAAAAAAUGGUUGAAGAAGUCUUCAAUAAUGCAAUUGAUUGUCUCUCAGAUGAAGACAAAAAGCUUCCUCAGGUUGAACAUGUGCUUCCCCUUCUGAAGCGAGGAAUUGGUAUUCAUCAUGGUGGUUUGCUUCCUAUAUUAAAAGAAACCAUAGAAAUCCUUUUCUCAGAGGGCCUAAUAAAGGCCUUAUUUGCAACAGAGACUUUUGCUAUGGGAAUUAAUAUGCCAGCCAGAACUGUGCUGUUUACAAGUGCCAGUAAAUUUGAUGGAAAAGAUUUCCGAUGGAUAUCCUCAGGUGAAUACAUUCAAAUGUCAGGUCGCGCAGGACGCCGAGGUAUGGAUGACAGAGGAAUAGUAAUUCUUAUGGUGGAUGAAAAAAUGAGUCCAACCAUUGGCAAGCAGCUUUUGAAGGGUUCAGCUGAUCCCUUAAACAGUGCUUUCCACCUGACAUACAACAUGGUAUUGAACUUACUUCGAGUGGAGGAAAUUAACCCUGAAUACAUGUUAGAAAAAUCAUUUUAUCAGUUCCAGCAUUACAGAACUAUUCCAGAAAUAGUGGAAAGAGUCAAUAAUCUGGAAGCACAGUACAACAAAAUUGUAAUUCCCAAUGAAGAAAAUGUGGUGAUAUACUACAGAAUCCGCCAGCAGCUUGCAAAACUGGGUAAAGAUAUUGAAGAGUAUAUUCACAAACCAAAGUACUGCUUGCCCUUUCUACAGCCAGGAAGACUAGUAAAGGUGAAGAAUGAAGGUGAUGACUACGGAUGGGGAGUGGUUGUUAAUUUCUCUAAGAAAUCAAAUGUUAAGCCAAAUUCUGGUGAAUUGGACCCAUUGUAUGUAGUCGAAGUGCUCCUGCACUGCAGCAAAGACAGUUUGAAAAAUUCUGCUACUGAGUCUGCAAAGCCAGCCAGACCUGAUGAGAGAGGAGAGAUGCAGGUUGUUCCUGUUUUGGUGCAUCUUGUCUCAGCUAUCAGCAGUAUCCGCCUCUACAUACCAAAAGACCUGAGGCCUAUUGAUAACAGGCAAAGUGUGUUAAAAUCUGUACUGGAGGUACAGAGACGUUUUCCUGAUGGAGUACCCUUACUAGAUCCUAUUGAUGACAUGGGCAUCAAGGACCAAGGGUUGAAAAAAGUAAUCCAAAAAAUAGAGGCAUUUGAGCAUAGGAUGUAUUCACAUCCUCUUCACAACGAUCCAAACUUGGAAACCAUAUACAAACUUUGUGAAAAAAAAGCACAGAUUGCUAUGGAUAUUAAAGUAGCAAAGCGAGAAUUGAAGAAAGCCAGAACUGUCCUGCAAAUGGAUGAACUCAAAUGCCGCAAGCGUGUUUUGAGAAGACUGGGGUUUGCCACGUCUUCAGAUGUUAUUGAGAUGAAAGGACGGGUUGCUUGUGAAAUCAGCAGUGCUGAUGAACUACUCCUGACGGAAAUGAUGUUCAAUGGUCUCUUCAAUGAUUUGUCUGCAGAGCAGGCAACUGCACUACUCAGCUGUUUCGUGUUUCAAGAGAAUUCCAGUGAAAUGCCCAAACUGACUGAACAGUUGGCAGGACCACUUCGGCAAAUGCAGGAGUGUGCAAAAAGAAUCGCCAAAGUGUCAGCAGAAGCAAAACUGGAAACUGAUGAAGAAAAUUACUUGAAUUCUUUCAGACCCAACCUAAUGGAUGUUGUGUAUACAUGGGCAAAUGGAGCUAACUUUGCUCACAUCUGCAAAAUGACAGAUGUCUUUGAAGGCUGAACAACCCCAACUCUCUCAGCCUGUCCUCAAAGGAGACCUGUUCCAUCUCUGAUCAUCCUGGUGGCCCUCCUCUGGACUCGCUCCAACAGGUUGAUGUCCUUCCUGUGCUGGGGACCCCAGAGCUGGAUGCAGCACUGCAGGUAGCAUAAUUCGUUGCAUGAGGCGGCUAGAAGAACUGCUUCGGCAGAUGUGCCAGGCUGCAAAAGCCAUUGGGAACACAG